GGCGAACGCUGGCGGCGUGCUUAACACAUGCAAGUCGAGCGAGAGAAAUUCCUUCGGGAAGGACUCUAGCGGCGGACGGGUGAGUAACACGUGGGUAACUUGCCUCAUAGAGGGGAAUAGCCUUUCGAAAGGAAGAUUAAUACCGCAUAAGAUUGUAGUAUCGCAUGAUGCAGCAAUUAAAGGAGUAAUCCGCUAUGAGAUGGACCCGCGUCGCAUUAGCUAGUUGGUGAGGUAACGGCUCACCAAGGCGACGAUGCGGAGCCGACCUGAGAGGGUGGUCGGCCACAUUGGGACUGAGACGCGGCCCAGACCCCUACGGGAGGCAGCAGUGGGGAAUAUUGCAUAAUGGGGGAAACCCUGAUGCAGCAACGCCGCGUGAGUGAUGACGGUCUUCGGAUUGUAAAACUCUGUCUUCAGGGACGAUAAUGACGGUACCUGAGGAGGAAGCCACGGCUAACUAUGUGCCAGCCGCCGCGGUAA
RNAcentral lists this ribosomal RNA (480 nucleotides) under uncultured bacterium. RNAcentral's name for it is "partial 16S ribosomal RNA". It matches the Rfam family "Bacterial small subunit ribosomal RNA", at positions 28 to 523 of the family's 1533-position model. The record is from RNAcentral.